This is a long non-coding RNA of Biomphalaria glabrata, 287 nucleotides long. RefSeq lists it as uncharacterized. The record is from RefSeq and is a predicted model, not a curated record. NCBI's taxonomy places the organism in Eukaryota, Metazoa, Mollusca, Gastropoda, Planorbidae. The transcript is spliced from 3 exons.
AGCAACAGACAGAGCACAUUUCUCUACGAAAAGCGAUACAGUUUAUAAUUAAAGAAGACCCUUACCACGGAAACAAGACAUUAGCAGAAUGUUUGGUGCCUCGUAAGAGAGUUUGGACUUGGCUGAAGUUGUAGAACUAUGUUUAUAUGUUUACAUGUUGAAAGUACAAUUUCGCCCAUAAAAGAUGGCUGGUAAAGUGUCAUGCUAUUAAAGGAAAUGUCAUGGGCUCAAUUCUUAUAUUGGCCAUAGUUUCUUUCAAGUACAAUGAAAUAGAACUGUAGAGUUCA